AGCGGCGGACGGGUGAGUAACACGUGGAUAACCUACCUAUAAGACUGGGAUAACUUCGGGAAACCGGAGCUAAUACCGGAUAAUAUUUUGAACCGCAUGGUUCAAAAGUAAAAGACGGUCUUGCUGUCACUUAUAGAUGGAUCCGCGCUGCAUUAGCUAGUUGGUAAGGUAACGGCUUACCAAGGCAACGAUGCAUAGCCGACCUGAGAGGGUGAUCGGCCACACUGGAACUGAGACACGGUCCAGACUCCUACGGGAGGCAGCAGUAGGGAAUCUUCCGCAAUGGGCGAAAGCCUGACGGAGCAACGCCGCGUGAGUGAUGAAGGUCUUCGGAUCGUAAAACUCUGUUAUUAGGGAAGAACAUAUGUGUAAGUAACUGUGCACAUCUUGACGGUACCUAAUCAGAAAGCCACGGCUAACUACGUGCCAGCAGCCGCGGUAAUACGUAGGUGGCAAGCGUUAUCCGGAAUUAUUGGGCGUAAAGCGCGCGUAGGCGGUUUUUUAAGUCUGAUGUGAAAGCCCACGGCUCAACCGUGGAGGGUCAUUGGAAACUGGAAAACUUGAGUGCAGAAGAGGAAAGUGGAAUUCCAUGUGUAGCGGUGAAAUGCGCAGAGAUAUGGAGGAACACCAGUGGCGAAGGCGACUUUCUGGUCUGUAACUGACGCUGUUGUGCGAAAGCGUGGGGAUCAAACAGGAUUAGAUACCCUGGUAGUCCACGCCGUAAACGAUCGCCUGCUAAGUGUUAGGGGGUUUCCGCCCCUUAGUGCUGCAGCUAACGCAUUAAGCACUCCGCCUGGGGAGUACGAGCCGCA
Molecule: ribosomal RNA, 812 nt
Filed under: uncultured Staphylococcus sp.
Lineage: Bacteria; Bacillati; Bacillota; Bacilli; Caryophanales; Staphylococcaceae
Description: bacterial SSU rRNA
Rfam family: Bacterial small subunit ribosomal RNA
Source: RNAcentral